ACGGCAUACUGUGUCUGCAAAAUCAUUUCAAACGCUUUGCGCUGUGGAAUCCUGAACAAGAGAAUUUAGGUCCCUCCCACUACUCUCUCCUAACUUUUCACCCAAUGUGGUGUAUCCCUAUGACACUUUUGGAUUUGGUUUGGAUCCCAUUACUAAUGAUUACAAGGUGGUUUGGAUUUGGAAGACUAUGGAUGAUAAUCAUGAUACUAGAAAAUUAAAGUAUACUCCUUAUGAGGUUGCUGUGUAUACCCUAUCUACUGAUUCCUGGAGAUAUCUUGAUGAUGUUGCUUUGCCUUAUGCUAACAUUCAAAUCCCUCUGUCUAACACAUGCAUUAAUGGAGUUUAUCACUGGUUUGCAGUAGACAGUGACUAUCAUGAUCUGAUCCUUUCAUUUGACAUGGGCAAUGAAUUGUUUCACGAGAUCCGUGGUAUUCCAUAUUCAAAAUGUGGCAUUCUUGCACCCUACUAUGACUAUCUUGCUCUGAUUUGUCAUUGUUCUAGUGAUUCAGGUGUUGACAUUUGGGUGACGAGGGAGGAAUGAUGUUGGACAAAGCAAUUUACUUUUGAAAUCCUUGAAGGAUUCGAAUGGCCACUUGGGUUUUGGAAGAACGAUAAGCUUUUUAUGGAAAGUCGUGAUGCUCAUAUGGCCUUGUAUGAUCCAGAGACUUGUGAAAUUAAGGAUCUUGGAUCCCGAUAUUAUUCCGAGCCCUUGCUCUAUAGGGAGAGCUUAGUCCCUAUAAGAGGCAGAAAUGGGUUUGUAGAACAGGAUCAGACAAUGUCUGACGUAGAUCAAGUUUUAAACUUUUCUAAAUGAGUUCACCUACCGGUCACUCCAUCCGAUAAAUUGUGUGUUUUGGUGCAACAACAAUGACUAAAAAGGAAAAGGGGGCAAACUAGAUGCAGAACUAAAAGGAAAUGGCAUGUUAAUUUAUCAUUUUUGUUAUUGGUAGUUGUUGGUAGCAUUGUUGCAUAUCCCAUGCUAUUGUGUCUUUGCAUUGAUUAUGAAAACAAAACACCACUUGUUGUCCGGAUGGUUCCCUCAAUCCUACCAAUACUUGAGAUGAGAGAGAACCUUGAACUUGACUCCUUCAGAGCCAGAAGUGUUUUUGUUUUGCAUUGAAGGGAUAAAAAUGGUUGAUUGAUGCUGCUUUCUCCUUGAAGAGGUUCCACUUGAGAACACAAUUCCGAGACGUAUUUGGCAGUUGCUUCCGUUAUUUUUUUUAUUGGUUCUCUGGGAAAGAGGAAGUGGUGAAAGAAUUUGUUGGAUGUCGAAGCAAUAAAUUCUGAAGAAAUGAUCUCUCUCUCUCUCUUGUUUUUGUUUCUUUUUCCCUUCUGAAGAUUGAUCUACCCUGUUCUUAGUCUCGUUGCGUUUGUAUAAUUCUUCAUGGAGCUGGUUGGUUCCAAACUUUAAUCAUUUACAACUUCAAAACUCUGUUCGUCCA
Cornus florida is the source of this 1442-nucleotide long non-coding RNA. RefSeq lists it as uncharacterized. The transcript has 2 exons. The record is from RefSeq and is a predicted model, not a curated record. NCBI's taxonomy places the organism in Eukaryota, Viridiplantae, Streptophyta, Magnoliopsida, Cornales, Cornaceae.